GAUCAUGGCUCAGGAUGAACGCUAGCUACAGGCUUAACACAUGCAAGUCGAGGGGCAGCAUGGUCUUAGCUUGCUAAGGCCGAUGGCGACCGGCGCACGGGUGAGUAACACGUAUCCAACCUGCCGUCUACUUUUGGACAGCCUUCUGAGAGGAAGAUUAAUACAAGAUGGCAUCAUGAGUCCGCAUGUUCACAUGAUUAAAGGUAUUCCGGUAGACGAUGGGG
This 224-nucleotide ribosomal RNA is filed under the name uncultured bacterium. RNAcentral's name for it is "partial 16S ribosomal RNA". It matches the Rfam family "Bacterial small subunit ribosomal RNA", at positions 15 to 230 of the family's 1533-position model. The record is from RNAcentral.